This 511-nucleotide ribosomal RNA is filed under the name uncultured bacterium. RNAcentral's name for it is "partial 16S ribosomal RNA". It matches the Rfam family "Bacterial small subunit ribosomal RNA", at positions 28 to 507 of the family's 1533-position model. The record is from RNAcentral.
GAUGAACGCUGGCGGCGUGCCUAAUACAUGCAAGUCGAACGAAACUUCUUUAUCACCGAGUGCUUGCACUCACCGAUAAAGAGUUGAGUGGCGAACGGGUGAGUAACACGUGGGCAACCUGCCCAAAAGAGGGGCUAAAACUUGGAAAAAGGGGUUUAUACCGCAUAACCAUUAAUACCGGAAGGUAAAUCUUUCAAAGGUUGCUAGAUUACCCCUUUUUGCUUGAGCCGCGGGGCAUUAGCUAGUUGGUACGGUAAAGGCUUACCAAGGCAAUGAUGCGUAGCCGAAUUGAGAGGUUGAUCGGCCACAUUGGGACUGAGACACGGCCCAAACUCCUACGGGAGGCAGCAGUAGGGAAUCUUCCACAAAGGGCGAAAGCCUGAUGGAGCAACGCCGCGUGGGUGAAGAAGGUCUUCGGAUCGUAAAACCCUGUUGUUAGAGAAGAAAGUGCGUGAGAGUAACUGUUCACGUUUCGACGGUAUCUAACCAGAAAGCCACGGCUAACUACGUG